RNAcentral lists this long non-coding RNA (1837 nucleotides) under Portunus trituberculatus (swimming crab). RNAcentral's name for it is "uncharacterized LOC123504134, transcript variant X1". Lineage: Eukaryota; Metazoa; Arthropoda; Malacostraca; Decapoda; Portunidae. The record is from RNAcentral.
CAGCCUCAGGCUGAGGCCGCUGAGCUCCAGCUGGCGCUGCGCUAGGCGGCUAGAGUUAUGGGUUGCCAGUAUCCACUACAGUAGUGUGUUACCUUUGUCCAUGCUUGUGCAUGGGUACGUAUGGGGUUGCUGUCUACGCCAGGGCAAGCCCGGCCAUCAGUUAUCAUUGAUAGGGCAGUUUCUCCUGGAGCUGUGAGAAGCGAUGGAGAUGACAGAUUGCCUAGUGGAGACGCAGGGCUUGCAUGCAACACCACUUCAGUCUGUCCCCUUCUGCAGUGACCUUAUGAUAUCUAUUAGCAAGCUGGUGGAGGCACAAGUCCAGGAGCAGAGGAUACAACAGAACAGACCUACCUUAAUGUGCUGGGAAACCACUGGAUCUCCUGUGCCAGCAGCCAGCAGAGAGCAGGCUGCAGGCUGGGGAAGGGUUCCAUAUUUCUAAUCCUCCAAGGUGUACCAAGCCAUGAGUGCCUUCCCUGUCUCUAUGAUCAUGAGAAUUCCACUGGAGCAUGUUAUUCUUCAGUGCAAGGUGUGUUGACCUGGUCGUAUCCUUGGGAGUGUUGACGAGUUCAUGGCAUCUUCCUGGGCACCAUUGACCAAGACAAGAGAGGUCAAGACAAGUCUGACCCCACUGUUGAUCUCUUGGCAAUGUAAUGUCUGCAGGACUUGGCAAUUUCUCCUGGAGCUGCAGGAGGUGAUGGAGGUGGUGAUAGAAUACCUGAUGGAGACAUGGGGCUUGCAUGCAACACCUCCUCAGGCUGACCUGCGAUGACCGUUUGAUGUUUGUUAGCAAGCUGGUGGAAUCACAGGGCGAAGUGAAAAGGCUAAGCAGGAACUGAUAAAGUGUGUGCUGUCUUUAUCCGUACACUGCUGGUUUGACCCAUCGAGAUGCUGCCUCUCUCCAGGCUGGGUGGUGGAGUGCGUUCGGGCGGGUCGUUCUCCGGCAUACGGUGGCAGGCAGCCUGGGUUCAAGUUCCUGCCAGGCUGCCAUGGCAUGCGGUGGAAGAUGAACGUAGGGAUGCAGCGCUCACCCGCCCAAUGCAGUGCAGUGUACAACAAGGAAGGUUGGGCUAUGCCGGUCAUCCCCCUAAACAUGGGCAAACAAGUUCCGGGCGUCAGUCAUUCCCGCCACAAGUCUGGUACCGGCGUCCCUACAUAUACGCACUAUCAACUUGCAUGGUAGAGCCAUAUCUGUUUCAUCCAAGGUAACUCCUCGGCCACAUCGACGCAAGGAGUUCGACCUGUACCCGCCCAAGCAGAAGCUCCGGCAUCCUGCUGCUCCUGAUCUGUCUAAAUGAUAGCAGUCUAGUCUGCCUCUUCAGAAGAGGAAGCCGACCGCGGAGGCGUGCGGUCCGGCACAGGUCCUGCCACUUCUGAAGGGAGAACCAAAUCAGCGCUUCCUAACAACCCCUAACCUGCGGCACGAAACUGGCUAUUCUUGCAGUGGAAGACGCAAAGUGACUCGCUGCACGGAGGAAUUUGACCCUGCCUCGCACCAGCUAUGCCUUAACACGUGGUGCUAUCCAGGAGGGAAAGACGCAUUGCCUCGCUGCACCUACCAUACAGGAUUUGGACUCGCCCGGAGCACUCUCGGUGCCAUCUAGGGAGGAAGAAACAAUUUCCUCAUCUAAUUCAACCUAACCAAUACAUGUUGGCAAUCAAUCUUGUGAUGUUAUUUGUUCCAUCUUUGAAUGUACCGAACUGAACCUAACCAAUACAUGUUGCCGAUCACUCUUGUAAUGUUACUUUUCCUUCCAUCUAUGAAUGUACCCGCGUAAGUGUAAUGUUAUUGUUCCUUCCUUGUUAUGCGAUGUAUAACUUAAUAAAUCAUGAUUGAUAA